CCAGACUCCUACGGGAGGCAGCAGUGGGGAAUAUUGCACAAUGGGGGAAACCCUGAUGCAGCGACGCCGCGUGGGCGAGGAAGUACCUCGGUAUGUAAAGCCCUAUCAGCAGGGAAGAAACAGGACAGUACCUGACUAAGAAGCCCCGGCUAACUACGUGCCAGCAGCCGCGGUAAUACGUAGGGGGCAAGCGUUAUCCGGAUUUACUGGGUGUAAAGGGAGCGUAGACGGCAAUACAAGUCGGAAGUGAAAUACCCGGGCUCAACCUGGGAAUUGCUUUGGAAACUGUAUGGCUGGAGUGCUGGAGAGGUAAGCGGAAUUCCUAGUGUAGCGGUGAAAUGCGUAGAUAUUAGGAGGAACACCAGUGGCGAAGGCGGCUUACUGGACAGUAACUGACGUUGAGGCUCGAAAGCGUGGGGAGCAAACAGGAUUAGAUACCCUAGUAA
This 446-nucleotide ribosomal RNA is filed under the name uncultured bacterium. Its description in RNAcentral is "bacterial SSU rRNA". It matches the Rfam family "Bacterial small subunit ribosomal RNA", at positions 331 to 793 of the family's 1533-position model. The record is from RNAcentral.